UUAAGCAUAUCAAUAAGCGGAGGAAAAGAAACCAACAGGGAUUACCUCAGUAACGGCGAGUGAAGCGGUAACAGCUCAAAUUUGAAAUCUGGCUCCUUUGGGGCCCGAGUUGUAAUUUGUAGAAGAUGCUUUGGGUGUGGGCCUGGCCUAAGUUCCUUGGAACAGGACGUCGUAGAGGGUGAGAAUCCCGUAUGCGGCUGGCGCCCGCGCCCAUGUAAAGCUCUUUCGACGAGUCGAGUUGUUUGGGAAUGCAGCUCUAAAUGGGUGGUAAAUUUCAUCUAAAGCUAAAUAUUGGCCAGAGACCGAUAGCGCACAAGUAGAGUGAUCGAAAGAUGAAAAGCACUUUGGAAAGAGAGUUAAACAGUACGUGAAAUUGUUGAAAGGGAAGCGCUGGCAACCAGACUUGGGCGCUGUUGAUCCGUUAGGGUUCUCCCUGGGGUACUCAGCAGUGCGCAGGCCAGCAUCGGUUUGGGGGGUUGGAGAAAGGCUGGUGGAAUGUGGCUGCCUUCGGGCAGUGUUAUAGCCACCGGUGGCAUGCAGCCUCCCCGGACCGAGGACCGCGCUUCGGCUAGGAUGCUGGCGUAAUGGUUGUCAGCGACCCGUCUUGAAA
Molecule: ribosomal RNA, 610 nt
Filed under: Podosphaera euphorbiae-helioscopiae
Lineage: Eukaryota; Fungi; Ascomycota; Leotiomycetes; Helotiales; Erysiphaceae
Description: partial large subunit ribosomal RNA
Rfam family: Eukaryotic large subunit ribosomal RNA
Source: RNAcentral